AGCAGUGUGGUGUAGUGGCUUGAGCACUUGACUACGAUUCUGGAGACAAGGGUUCAAGACCUUGCUCUGCCA
Phrynosoma platyrhinos (Desert horned lizard) is the source of this 72-nucleotide non-coding RNA. Lineage: Eukaryota; Metazoa; Chordata; Lepidosauria; Squamata; Phrynosomatidae. The record is from the annotation of a GenBank genome assembly.